UGGCCUUCCAGAUGUUGCCAAACUACAACUCCCAUCAGCCCCAGCAAGCAUGGCCAAUGGCUAAGGUAAAUGGGAGUUGUAGUUUGGCAACAUCUGGAGGGCA
This is a non-coding RNA of Podarcis lilfordi (Lilford's wall lizard), 103 nucleotides long. The record is from the annotation of a GenBank genome assembly. Lineage: Eukaryota; Metazoa; Chordata; Lepidosauria; Squamata; Lacertidae.